CCUACGGGUGGCAGCAGUAGGGAAUAUUGCUCAAUGGGGGAAACCCUGAACCAGCAACGCCGCGUGGAGGCUGACGGUUUUAGGAUUGUAAACUCCUUUUGUGAGAGAAGAAAAUGCCGGUAUCUCUCGAUUAAGCACCGGCUAACUUCGUACAAGCAGCCGCGGUAAUAAGGAGGGUGCCAGCGUUAAUUGGAAUAACUGGGCGUAAAGCGUGAGCAGGCGGGCUUGUAAGUCAGAUGUGAAAUUCUGGAGCUUAACCACAGAACUGCAGUUGAAACUGUUAGUCUUGAGUGCGAGAGAGGUAGGCGGAAUUCGUGGUGUAGGGGUAAAAUCCGUAGAUAUCAAGAGGAAAACUGAUUGCGAAGGC
RNAcentral lists this ribosomal RNA (367 nucleotides) under uncultured bacterium. RNAcentral's name for it is "partial 16S ribosomal RNA". It matches the Rfam family "Bacterial small subunit ribosomal RNA", at positions 338 to 722 of the family's 1533-position model. The record is from RNAcentral.